GUAUGCUUGUCUCUAACAUCCGAUAAAAUUGAAAUUAUACAGAGAAGAUUAUUAUAGCCUCAUGCAAGAAUGAUACGCAUAAAUUGAAAAAUGGUCCAAAUUUUU
This is a small nuclear RNA of Zingiber officinale, 105 nucleotides long. Lineage: Eukaryota; Viridiplantae; Streptophyta; Magnoliopsida; Zingiberales; Zingiberaceae. The record is from RefSeq and is a predicted model, not a curated record.